CCUACGGGAGGCAGCAGUGGGGAAUAUUGGGCAAUGGGCGCAAGCCUGACCCAGCAACGCCGCGUGAAGGGAGAAUGCUCUCGGGUUGUAAACUUCUUUUAUCAGGGACGCAGCAAGUGACGGUACCUGAUGAAUAAGCCACGGCUAACUACGUGCCAGCAACCGCGGUAAUCCGGCGGUGGCAAGCGUUAUUCGGAUUUACUGGGUGUAAAGGGAGUGUAGGCGGGAAAGCAAGUCAGAUGUGAAAACUAUGGGCUCAAACCAUAGCCUGCAUUUGAAACUGGAAUUCUUGAGUGGUGGAGAGGCAAUCGGAAUGCCGGGUGUAGCGGUGAAAUGCGUAGAUAUACGGAGGAACACCAGUGGCGAAGGCGGAUUGCUGGACAGUAACUGACGCUGAGGCGCGAAAGCGUGGGGAGCAAACAGGAUUAGAUACCCUUGUAGUC
Molecule: ribosomal RNA, 443 nt
Filed under: uncultured bacterium
Lineage: Bacteria
Description: partial 16S ribosomal RNA
Rfam family: Bacterial small subunit ribosomal RNA
Source: RNAcentral